UUAACGGGAAAAAAUCGAUCCCGUCUCUCGGCUUGUCAGAUGCAGUUGCGGUAGAAAGAACAACUGUAUCGCCGUAGUGCAUGAAUGCUGCACCAUUUGCCUGCUUUGCAACACGGCCUACCUCAACGGUAAGGGUACGUCCCGCAAGCUCCAUGGAAAAACUCUUAAACAUGGCUUCGUCUCCUUUUCUUAAAUGUUGCGACAGAAGAAGCCGAAACUACUAAACUAAACAUGAUCCACGCAUUGGUUAACACGCGAAC
Molecule: non-coding RNA, 260 nt
Filed under: human gut metagenome
Source: RNAcentral